This 313-nucleotide long non-coding RNA is filed under the name Dermacentor andersoni. Its description in RNAcentral is "uncharacterized LOC126526458". Lineage: Eukaryota; Metazoa; Arthropoda; Arachnida; Ixodida; Ixodidae. The record is from RNAcentral.
GAUCCAAGCUACAGCGAAACAACCAAAGUCGUGUACACUAACUUCAAGAACUGUGCCGUAGCUCAAGGCAAAUACUACGAACAACGUUGCAUACUCUACAUCUCCAAGGAUGUUGCUAAUGAUGUGCCACCGGAAUGUAGGAAGAACUUUGAAGAAAUCUGCGGUGUCGCCUCUUCAUCUAACUGGAAUGAUGUAUGUGGAGAAGACGCGUAGACCACGCGGGAAAAAGAAAAAGUGUUAUUAAAACAGUGUUGAGAUCUGUGACAUGUUAAGUAGCACAGCUUGAAAUAAACAUAUUUUUCGACAAGCGCAA